This 440-nucleotide ribosomal RNA is filed under the name uncultured bacterium. Its description in RNAcentral is "partial 16S ribosomal RNA". It matches the Rfam family "Bacterial small subunit ribosomal RNA", at positions 338 to 795 of the family's 1533-position model. The record is from RNAcentral.
CCUACGGGCGGCAGCAGUGGGGAAUAUUGCACAAUGGGGGAAACCCUGAUGCAGCGACGCCGCGUGAGUGAAGAAGUAUUUCGGUACGUAAAGCUCUAUCAGCAGGGAAGAAAAUGACGGUACCUGACUAAGAAGCCCCGGCUAACUACGUGCCAGCAGCCGCGGUAAUACGUAGGGGGCAAGCGUUAUCCGGAUUUACUGGGUGUAAAGGGAGCGUAGACGGCAGGGCAAGUCUGGAGUGAAAUCCCAUGGCUUAACCAUGGAACUGCUUUGGAAACUGUGCAGCUAGAGUGCAGGAGAGGUAAGCGGAAUUCCUAGUGUAGCGGUGAAAUGCGUAGAUAUUAGGAGGAACACCAGUGGCGAAGGCGGCUUACUGGACUGUAACUGACGUUGAGGCUCGAAAGCGUGGGGAGCAAACAGGAUUAGAUACCCCUGUAGUC